Molecule: long non-coding RNA, 1198 nt
Organism: Humulus lupulus (European hop)
Lineage: Eukaryota; Viridiplantae; Streptophyta; Magnoliopsida; Rosales; Cannabaceae
Exons: 3
Source: RefSeq, a predicted model, not a curated record
UGUCUCUGUGGUUUGCUUUAGAGGACUUGUAAAAUGUUUUUUGAUUUCUUAUGGAGGACAUGUCGAUUUUUUUUUAAAGUGCUUUCUUUCUGUAUAAAUUGGCUGCGUUUUAUUUUCCUGUUACUAGCACAAGUUCUCUGUUUUGUAUGCAUGAUUCUAUGAGCUAAUUCUAGAAUUUCCUAUAUGUAUUGAAUCUUAUUCAAAGUAUUGUAUUGUAAUGUUUAUUGGUUUGAAACUUUGUUUGUUUAUUUGUUCCAUGGCUUAAACACAAACCUUUUCUCAAGCAGAAUUUGAUAGCUUUCAUCAAGUUUGGUGAGGACUGCAUACUUUUCUGGGGUGUAAAUGAUCACAGUGAAAAUGGUGUUGAAAAAAAACUUCUGGGUUAUUUUUGUUCUACUCCUUUUAGGAUUUGUAGCUAAUUUGCACACUGCAAAACGCGCUCCUCGGCCUAGGCCUCGCCAGAUUCUCUUGGAUACAGAUGAUUUCUUUGCUCUGCUCUACCUCUUAAAGCUUAACAGAUCAGAGUUUGAGUUAGAGGGUGUGACUAUCAACACAAAAGCCUGGACUGAUGCUAGACAUUCUGUGAAUCAAAUCUAUGACAUCCUUUACAUGAUGGGGCGCGAUGAUAUCGCUGUUAGAGUUGGCGGCGAAGGUGGAAUACUAAAAGAUGGUACCAUUCUUCCUAAUGUUGGUGGAUAUCUUCCCAUAAUAGAACAGGCAUGAGCUCAUUGAUUGCCUUCUACAUGUUUGAUUUUUGUUUUUCCUCAUAAAAAAACUUAGUACAUUGCCAUAACAUGUAUAUCAUACAAUCUCAGUUAAAAUCCACUCUAAUUUGUGUUUAGUUUAUGUAUGUCAGGGUGUUACAACCACUGGGGGAUGUAGAUAUAGACAAGCUAUCCCAGUAGGUAUUGGAGGUUGUCUGGAUGUUGAUACAAAUUUUGGCAUUAGAAAAGCUUUUCUUCCUCAGGUAUAUUGAGAUGAUUUCUUUGGAGCAAUUCUUGAGAACAUUUGUAGUUGAGGCCUUUAGAAUGGAAGAAUGUAUUUCACUAAUUUUUGUAUACAUUUCUUGUUUUGUAUUUAGUGAUAAAGGAAUCUUAAUUAGGCAUAAAUUAUGUUGUAAUAUGAUUUCUUAAGCCUAGACUAGUAGACAAAAUAUUGUAAUUACAUUUGAGUAAUUAAUAAAAAUCUAUUUAUGUUA